Molecule: long non-coding RNA, 544 nt
Filed under: Drosophila guanche
Lineage: Eukaryota; Metazoa; Arthropoda; Insecta; Diptera; Drosophilidae
Source: RNAcentral
GUUGAAUAUUUAGUUGAAAUCUUCAUGGAGUUUUACUUCAAAGGGAAUGAAAUAUCCCUAAAAAUCUGAGAGUUUCUUCCUAGUUCUCCCCCAAAACUGAGUUCAACCGAUUAGGGUAUUUUGAGUGUGCUUUAUGUGUGAGUAUGUGGCACCACCGUUUACCUUGUUCUGUGCCACUGCCACUGCCGCUGCUGUAUUCUAGUGAUGAUGACGCCGAUUCGUUUUGGGGCAUGUUGUUGACUCGCCUGGCUGGAUGGGGCUGUGCGGAUGUUGGCCUGGUUGCUGGCUGGGUCGCUGGUUGUGUUUGAGCUGUUGUUAAUUUUCCUAAAAUCAAAGCACAAAACUCACAGGAAAUGUAAACCGUUUUGUGGUAAUUCAAAACACGACGACACAACUGAAACUGGAACACAGUUUACAAGAAAUUGCAUUUGCCUUUGCCCUGUGCCCUGUACCCCGUUCGAACAACUCAGCCAAAACUCUUACGAUCGCACAGAGAUGCAGGGCUUAGUGUCUCUUGUUGGCUUUAUGUGUUCAUCGUCUUAAG